GUUCUUUGUGCCCUGAGUUAGCGAGUUGCACUGUGUUACUGUGUGCGGAAACUCCUGCAAAAAAACCCACUGGACAUAAUGCUGUGGUGCCGGAGUCCUGCGUUUGGGUUCAGCCCCGCACCGGAGCAGAGAACUACUUCAGGGUGUACCCCGCCUCCUACCCGAAGAUAGCUGGCAUGGGGUCCAGCACGCCUGCAACUCUUGUGAGGAUAAGCAGUUCAGAUAAUGGAUGGAUGGAUUUGACUUGGACAACCAGCUUUGUUGUGAGGGGAACUAGCCUUUUAGUGGGAGCACUCAGAGACGGCCAGCAGAGAGCGACUGUUCUUUUCUGUUGGAUGAGCUCGUGGCGGUUCUUUGUGCAGACAUGGAAGGUGGCUGGGCAGAAGCAGCAGCGGGCGAG
Molecule: long non-coding RNA, 400 nt
Organism: Syngnathoides biaculeatus (alligator pipefish)
Lineage: Eukaryota; Metazoa; Chordata; Actinopteri; Syngnathiformes; Syngnathidae
Exons: 3
Source: RefSeq, a predicted model, not a curated record